GGGGCUGUGGCACACUGGUAGAACAUCUGCUUGGCAUGUGGAUGUUUCCAGAUUCAAUUCCUGGCAACCCCA
RNAcentral lists this transfer RNA (72 nucleotides) under Sphaerodactylus townsendi. Its description in RNAcentral is "tRNA-Ala". It matches the Rfam family "tRNA". From Rfam's summary of the family: Transfer RNA (tRNA) molecules are approximately 80 nucleotides in length. Their secondary structure includes four short double-helical elements and three loops (D, anti-codon, and T loops). The record is from RNAcentral. Lineage: Eukaryota; Metazoa; Chordata; Lepidosauria; Squamata; Sphaerodactylidae.